CUCCAGACUCCUACGGGAGGCAGCAGUGAGGAAUAUUGGUCAAUGGCCGUAAGGCUGAACCAGCCAAGUAGCGUGAGGGAAGACUGCCCUAUGGGUUGUAAACCUCUUUUAUGCGGGGAUAAAGGUGUCCACGUGUGGAUGUUUGCAGGUACCGCAUGAAUAAGGACCGGCUAAUUCCGUGCCAGCAGCCGCGGUAAUACGGAAGGUCCGGGCGUUAUCCGGAUUUAUUGGGUUUAAAGGGUGCGUAGGCGGUCCGUUAAGUCAGGGGUAAAAUUGCGGGGCUCAACCCCGGCGAGCCGUUGAAACUGGCAGACUUGAGUUGGCGAGAAGUACGCGGAAUGCGCGGUGUAGCGGUGAAAUGCAUAGAUAUCGCGCAGAACUCCGAUUGCGAAGGCAGCGUACCGGCGCCAGACUGACGCUGAGGCACGAAAGCGUGGGGAUCGAACAGGAUUAGAUACCCGAGUA
This 465-nucleotide ribosomal RNA is filed under the name uncultured bacterium. RNAcentral describes it as "bacterial SSU rRNA". It matches the Rfam family "Bacterial small subunit ribosomal RNA", at positions 329 to 792 of the family's 1533-position model. The record is from RNAcentral.